AGCUCAAUAGUUCAGUCGGAAGAGCAUGAGACUCCUAAUCUCGGGGUUGCAAGUUUGAGCCCUGUGUUGAGUAA
Non-coding RNA from Podarcis lilfordi (Lilford's wall lizard), 74 nucleotides. The record is from the annotation of a GenBank genome assembly. Lineage: Eukaryota; Metazoa; Chordata; Lepidosauria; Squamata; Lacertidae.